GAUGAACGCUGGCGGCGUGCCUAUACAUGCAAGUCGAGCGAACGGACGAGAAGCUUGCUUCUCUGAUGUUAGCGGCGGACGGGUGAGUAACACGUGGGUAACCUACCUAUAAGACUUGGAUAACUUCGGGGAACCGUAGCUAAUACCGGAUAAUAUUUUGAACCGCCUGGUUCAAAAGUGAAAGACGGUCUUGCUUUUCCCUAUAUAUGGAUCCGCGCUGCAUUAGCUAGUUGGUAAGGUAACGGCUUACCAAGGCAACGAUGCAUAGCCGACCUGAGAGGGUGAUCGGCCACACUGGAACUGAGACACGGUCCAGACUCCUACGGGAGGCAGCAGUAGGGAAUCUUCCGCAAUGGGCGAAAGCCUGACGGAGCAACGCCGCGUGAGUGAUGAAGGUCUUCGGAUCGUAAAACUCUGUUAUUAGGGAAGAACAUAUGUGUAAGUAACUGUGCACAUCUUGACGGUACCUAAUCAGAAAGCCACGGCUAACUACGUG
Molecule: ribosomal RNA, 496 nt
Filed under: uncultured bacterium
Lineage: Bacteria
Description: partial 16S ribosomal RNA
Rfam family: Bacterial small subunit ribosomal RNA
Source: RNAcentral